Microplitis mediator is the source of this 614-nucleotide long non-coding RNA. RefSeq lists it as uncharacterized. NCBI's taxonomy places the organism in Eukaryota, Metazoa, Arthropoda, Insecta, Hymenoptera, Braconidae. The transcript is spliced from 3 exons. The record is from RefSeq and is a predicted model, not a curated record.
AUGCUUUUUUUUUUAGAGUUCGAUAAUUAGUGAGAAACAAUAUGGGCCUUUCAUUAUCAUAGAAUUUACUAAACGUGGUCCAAAAAAUAGUAAACCGGUUAAUAUUGUGUUGAAUAAUUGGAUUAGAUUUGAUAAUUAAAUUAAAUUUAAUUAUUUUCUUUAAAGAAAAGAUUUGUCACGAAAUUUAUGUCUGGGCCACACAAUGAUGAAGAUGCAGGUCUGCUCAAAGAUUCAUUAAUAAAUAACGCUGAUGCUCCUGACGGGUGGCCUGAAUAUAAUUGCUACGUAUGAGGCGAGUCCGCUUUUAGUAAGUCGGGAUGUGGCAUUAAACUUUACGGCCCAACAAGAAGUAAAAAAUAAAAUUGCUAUAAAAAAUAUAAAUUUUACAAAAGUUUUAAAAUGUUCUCUAAUUGCAAUUACCGCCAUAGUCUCCGAAAAUGAAGCACUAGUAGCGAUUGGAUCAGCCUUGGGCAAUGCCACCGAUUGGGACAAUAAACGUAAAGCGAGAUAAAAUAAUAAUAAUUAUAAUAAUUAAAAGUAUUAAUUUUAUAUCAAUGUGUUUUAAAUUUAAAAAAAUUGAUCUAGUUGUAUUGAAUAAUAAUAUGAUAAUAUAA